Molecule: ribosomal RNA, 253 nt
Filed under: uncultured bacterium
Lineage: Bacteria
Description: partial 16S ribosomal RNA
Rfam family: Bacterial small subunit ribosomal RNA
Source: RNAcentral
UACGUAGGGGGCAAGCGUUGUCCGGAAUCAUUGGGCGUAAAGAGCGUGUAGGCGGUUAGGUAGGUCCGUUGUGAAAACUCGAGGCUCAACCUCGAGACGCCGAUGGAAACCAUCUGACUAGAGUCCGGAAGAGGAGAGUGGAAUUCCUGGUGUAGCGGUGAAAUGCGCAGAUAUCAGGAAGAACACCCGUGGCUAAGGCGGCUCUCUAGUACGGUACUGACGCUGAGACGCGAAAGCGUGGGGAGCGAACAGG